UACGAAGGGGGCUAGCGUUGUUCGGAAUUACUGGGCGUAAAGCGUGCGCAGGCGGCUUCUCAAGUCAGGGGUGAAAGCCCAGAGCUCAACUCUGGAAUUGCCUUUGAUACUGAGGAUCUUGAGUUCGGGAGAGGUGAGUGGAACUGCGAGUGUAGAGGUGAAAUUCGUAGAUAUUCGCAAGAACACCAGUGGCGAAGGCGGCUCACUGGCCCGAUACUGACGCUGAGGCACGAAAGCGUGGGGAGCAAACAGG
This 253-nucleotide ribosomal RNA is filed under the name uncultured bacterium. RNAcentral describes it as "partial 16S ribosomal RNA". It matches the Rfam family "Bacterial small subunit ribosomal RNA", at positions 524 to 776 of the family's 1533-position model. The record is from RNAcentral.